CGGGGUGAGUAACGCGUGAGUAACCUGCCUUUCAGAGGGGGAUAACGUUCUGAAAAGAACGCUAAUACCGCAUGAGACUACAGAGCUGCAUGGCUCAGUGGUCAAAGGAGCAAUCCGCUGAAAGAUGGACUCGCGUCCGAUUAGAUAGUAGGCGGGGUAACGGCCCACCUAGUCGACGAUCGGUAGCCGGACUGAGAGGUUGAACGGCCACAUUGGGACUGAGACACGGCCCAGACUCCUACGGGAGGCAGCAUG
This 255-nucleotide ribosomal RNA is filed under the name uncultured bacterium. Its description in RNAcentral is "partial 16S ribosomal RNA". It matches the Rfam family "Bacterial small subunit ribosomal RNA", at positions 100 to 353 of the family's 1533-position model. The record is from RNAcentral.